GACGAACGCUGGCGGCGUGCUUAACACAUGCAAGUCGAACGGUAAGGCCCUUUGGGGUACACGAGUGGCGAACGGGUGAGUAACACGUGGGUGAUCUGCCCUGCACUUCGGGAUAAGCCUGGGAAACUGGGUCUAAUACCGGAUAGGACCACUGCCUGCAUGGGUGGUGGUGGAAAGCUUUUGCGGUGUGGGAUGGGCCCGCGGCCUAUCAGCUUGUUGGUGGGGUGAUGGCCUACCAAGGCGACGACGGGUAGCCGGCCUGAGAGGGUGACCGGCCACACUGGGACUGCGAUACGGCCCAGACUCCGACGGGAGGCAGCAGUGGGGAAUAUUGCACAAUGGGCGCAAGCCUGAUGCAGCGACGCCGCGUGAGGGAUGACGGCCUUCGGGUUGUAAACCUCUUUCAGCACCGACGAAGCGCAAGUGACGGUAGGUGCAGAAGAAGGACCGGCCAACUACGUGCCAGCCGCCGCAGUAA
RNAcentral lists this ribosomal RNA (478 nucleotides) under uncultured bacterium. Its description in RNAcentral is "partial 16S ribosomal RNA". It matches the Rfam family "Bacterial small subunit ribosomal RNA", at positions 28 to 523 of the family's 1533-position model. The record is from RNAcentral.